AAGAUACAGCUACUACCUCCUACCCACAACCAAAGUAAAAUAUCGAAAGAAAACCUAGCCACCUCUGUUGAGCCCCAUUCCUGUAAAUCAAUGAAACCUUUGAAAUGCCCAGCUCCAGAAUAAGAGAAAUCUUGCCGUCACACUCGGCAGUAGACGAGAUAGAGCAACGCAUCCAACGAAACACCACCCUUGGUUGCCAGUCACACCAUUACUAAUUGUCCAAAUCUGAAGUUGUGGAGAAAUUACCCGUCCAUCAGGGAAUUAACAAUUUGGCUUCCCAAAUUAACAUGCUGAUAUCAGAUCUACCUAUGAUUUUUUUAAUGUUCUAUUUGUUGUAUUUUAUUUAAUUUUUUCUUAAGUUUUAAUUUGUAUAAAUUAAAUAAAACUUUUUUUUUU
Molecule: long non-coding RNA, 396 nt
Filed under: Gossypium barbadense (sea-island cotton)
Lineage: Eukaryota; Viridiplantae; Streptophyta; Magnoliopsida; Malvales; Malvaceae
Description: long non-coding RNA (GBAR_LNC000034)
Source: RNAcentral